Agelaius phoeniceus (red-winged blackbird) is the source of this 140-nucleotide non-coding RNA. The record is from RefSeq and is a predicted model, not a curated record. Lineage: Eukaryota; Metazoa; Chordata; Aves; Passeriformes; Icteridae.
GUGGAUAGCUGGCAACAUACAAGGCUCUAAAUGUUUGUUGGUAUUUUAAAGGAAUGAAGCUCUCGAGGUCAUGGGCACUGGAUGUUUAUUCUAAAAAUGUUUUUAAUUCAUUGGUGUCUCCUUCUGCCUAGAAUUUCUAC